Molecule: RNA transcript, 1567 nt
Organism: Brassica napus (rape)
Lineage: Eukaryota; Viridiplantae; Streptophyta; Magnoliopsida; Brassicales; Brassicaceae
Gene name: homogentisate 1,2-dioxygenase-like
Exons: 5
Source: RefSeq, a predicted model, not a curated record
UCACGGGAAAAUUCGAUUUUGAGGUUUUGGCGAAAAACUCGAUUUUGAUUUUUUGGCGGGAAAACUCGAUUUCGAAGUUUUGACGAAAAACUCGAUUUUGUUGUUUUAGUUGAAAACUCGAUUUUGCGGUUUCGACGGAAAAUUUCGUUGUUCAGUUUUUGGCGAGAAAACUCUACUUUAAGUUUUUUUUGAUGAAAAACAUUAUUAAAUAUUGUAUAAUAGUUGUGUGAAUCAAAAUAAAAGGGUUAGAAUUUAAACCCUGGUCCUAUUAGGGUCAACCCUAUUUAAACCCUGUUUAAAAAAUGAGGGUUAGGGUUACAAAUGGAUUUGCAGGGUUAGGGCUAACCCUGUCACGUUGAGCCCAUAUUAACAUCCCUACUGAUUUCAUUGAUGGGUUUGUACGCUAUUUGUGGAGCUGGAAGCUCCUUUCUUCGCCAUGGAUUUGCCAUUCACAAGUACACUGCUAACAAAGGAAUGAAAGACUCUGCCUUUAUGGUGACUUCUUGUUUGUUCCUCAGGCUGGAAGUAAGUUAAGUCUCCAUGCCUUACUUUGAAUUUGUUGUAAAGCUCAUCUUUUGUGUAGGGCUAUGGAUUGAAACCGAGUGUGGGAGGGAGGCUUUUGGUAUCUCAUGGUGAAAUUGUUGUUAUACCACAAGGUUUCAGAUUCUCCAUUGAUCUACCUGACGGGUUAUGUUUCUGAAAUCUAUGGUGCUCAUUUUCAGCUUCCUGAUCUUGGACCUAUAGGUAGCUUAGCUACUCGAGUCCUUUGGGAUUCAUUCAACCUUGGUAAACAAGUGAGAGAAUAUUUAUCUUUGGAUGUGUGAAGGUGCUAAUGGUCUUUCUUGCUGCACCAAGAGAUUUUCUUGCACCAACGGCAUGGUUUGAGGAAGGACUACGGCCUGACUUCACAAUUGUUCACAAGUUUGGCGGCGAACUCUUUACUGCUAAACAAGAUUUCUCUCCCUUCAAUGUGGUCGCCUGGCACGGCAAUUACGUGCCUUAUAAGUAUGACCUGCAGAAGUUCUGCUCAUACAACACUGUCCUUAUAGAUCAUGGGGAUCCAUCAAUAAAUACAGUUCUUACAGCGCCGCCAACGGAUAAACCCGGUGUAGCUUUACUUGAUUUUGUCAUAUUCCCUCCUCGAUGGUUGGUUGCUGAGCACACUUUCCGACCUCCUUACUAUCUGCAUGAGUGAAUUUAUGGGCUUAAUCUAUGGUGCAUACGAGGCACUACGAGGCGACGAUUGAUUGCUCGUGUAGUAAAUGCAAUGGCUCCUACUAAACUCACAGGUACAAUGGCUUUCAUGUUCGAAUCAGCAUUGAUCCCCUCUGGAGUCUCCUUUCCUCGAUCACGACUACUAUCAGUGUUGGAUUCGACUCAAGUCCCACUUCUCCCGCAUAUCCUUGAACGAGACUAAUGUUGAACAAACAGAGAAAAGGACAGGAGCGUCAGAGUAAAUAAAAACAUAAACUCACGUGUCUUGCCAAUACCCACUCUGUACAGACCGCUACUAUAUGUUAAGCAUACAACAAGUAUAUAUGCAAUAAGUAGGUGAUGUUUCAUAUCA